RNAcentral lists this ribosomal RNA (156 nucleotides) under Sorghum bicolor (sorghum). RNAcentral's name for it is "rRNA 5_8S_rRNA". It matches the Rfam family "5.8S ribosomal RNA". From Rfam's summary of the family: 5.8S ribosomal RNA (5.8S rRNA) is a component of the large subunit of the eukaryotic ribosome. It is transcribed by RNA polymerase I as part of the 45S precursor that also contains 18S and 28S rRNA. The record is from Rfam by way of RNAcentral. Lineage: Eukaryota; Viridiplantae; Streptophyta; Magnoliopsida; Poales; Poaceae.
GACUCUCGGCAACGGAUAUCUCGGCUCUCGCAUCGAUGAAGAACGUAGCAAAAUGCGAUACCUGGUGUGAAUUGCAGAAUCCCGCGAACCAUCGAGUUUUUGAACGCAAGUUGCGCCCGAGGCCUUCCGGCCGAGGGCACGUCUGCCUGGGCGUCA